UAAAAAGCCCAGACCUCAAAGACAGCUACGCACUUCAGGUCCCAUCUCAUUACUGAGAGCUUUUAUUUCACCCAGUGAAAUUCUAUUCUGCCUUACUCACUCUCUGGUGUCCGUGUUCCUCAUUCCUCUUGGUCAUAAGACAAGAACUCAGAACUCACCGAAUGGUAGGAGUGAAAGGGCUCUAACACCACUGUCUGCCAAGCUGUGAGAGGUCAAAUAAAAGAGCUGUAACCUUCUCUCCCACUCACCGAACAACAGGAGAGACGAAGCCACUGGGCACCACUCCCUCCCGUUCACUGAACUGUAGAAGUGGAAAAGCCACGGGGUGCCACAUAAUCCUGCUCACUGAUCUGCAGAAGACAAGAAACUGCUGGGCACCACUCUUUCCCACUCACUGAAUUACGGGAGCAAAAAAAUGGCACAACAAUUCUAAUUCAGGGGCAUAGAAGAUGUGGUGCUGCAUGGAGGGAUUCAUUUGUGCUUUUUUUCCUGGUUAUCAGUGAUUUUAUUUGCUUACUUCUAAGGAAUUUUAUAAAAGAUUUACACACAACUAAACAAGUAACUCAAAUUACAAAAAUCCUUUGGAGGAGGCACAAAAAUAAAUAUUCCAGGAGCCAUCAAGAUGAGCAUUUGAAAUUAAAAACAUAAAAUCUGUAGACAACCGCAUUGUUAAUAAUGAGGUGUUUGAUAUCCAGCAGCAAUUAUGGUCAGCCUUCAUACAAGUACAAGAAACAUAGAGUGAAUAAAAAUAAAACAGAAGAUUUACUAUCUCUGACGAAUUCAUGUGACCUUGAAUCUGGAAAGUCUAUGACCAAGGCACUAGCAUAUUGCAUGGCCCUUCUUGCUGUUCUGUAACAUGUCAGAAGACAUCACACGAGGAAGACAGAGAGAAAAGAGGGGUGAACUCAUCUUUUUAUUAGGAAUCUACUCCAACAAUAAUGAACCCACUGUUGAAAGAAUGGAAUUAAUUCAUUCAUGAGUUUUAGCUCCAACAGUUAAAGAGUCUGAAAGUCAUCACUUCAGUUCUGACAAGUUGAGAAAUCUUAACAAACUGAAACCUUAUGACUUUUCUUGAAGUUAUCAGAGACCUGAGGUCACAGAGCAAACUGAUAUCUUGAAAUAUGGAGAGAUAGGAUGAAUCCAAAAGUCAUUGCCAAGAUCUAUUCUUCUGGAGCAGAGGCUACUGGGGUCAGCAAGUCAGAACAAGUAAUCUUGAUGAAUGCUGAAGACUGAGUGUGAACUACAGGGAGAAGGAGCAACUUCUGAGGCUACAGUGUAAGUGGAUACUUUCUCCAGGACCCCCAUCAGUCUCUCACUGUCAGGAGCCAAGAAGGAUACCUUCCUGGCUCUAGCGGUGGGAAGGGAGGAAUAAUCAUUAUGAAAUAAAUUCAAGU
This is a non-coding RNA of Macaca mulatta (Rhesus monkey), 1394 nucleotides long. Lineage: Eukaryota; Metazoa; Chordata; Mammalia; Primates; Cercopithecidae. The record is from RefSeq and is a predicted model, not a curated record.